Non-coding RNA from Nowakowskiella sp. JEL0407, 73 nucleotides. The record is from the annotation of a GenBank genome assembly. NCBI's taxonomy places the organism in Eukaryota, Fungi, Chytridiomycota, Chytridiomycetes, Cladochytriales, Nowakowskiellaceae.
UCUGCAGUAGCUCAAUUAUGGAAGAGCAUCCAACUAUCUUAGGAAGGUCCAAGUUCAAAUCUUGGUUGCGGAC